This is a non-coding RNA of Paramuricea clavata, 580 nucleotides long. Lineage: Eukaryota; Metazoa; Cnidaria; Anthozoa; Malacalcyonacea; Plexauridae. The record is from the annotation of a GenBank genome assembly.
GUGAGAUAUUUUGCCGGAAAAUAAACACGACCUACGAGGAAGUUGUCCAUUGGCGACGAAACAUUUUUCAAGUACCUUCAGGAAACGCUGGAAAAUCAUUCGUCUCCAAGCUUGCCCGUUUAUAUCAAGCUUACGCGGACAGUUCAAGUCUAGAAUGCAUCGCUAUGAAAGCAACCACUGUAUUUCCGAUCCUGGUACUUCAAAAACCAAGCCGAGCAAGCAAAAGUAAAGAUCAUGUGAAACAUCUGCAAAGACGAAUAAAAUUAUGGCUUGACGGCGACAUAGAAGCACUCCUUGACGAAGGUGAAUGUAUUCAAAAGCGACUCAGCAAAUCGACCACUCCUCAAAGCAAUGAUGUCAUCGCCCGAACGUUUAGAAGCCUCAUGUUACAGGGGAAAGUCCAGAGUGCACUGAGAUAUAUCUCAAGAAAUAGCAAUGGCGGAGUUCUCAAAUUAGAUGACCUCAUUCCCGUAACGACAAAAGAGGGCGAGUCAAUCCAACAAACGACAAGAGAAAUCCUGAAAAAGAAGCACCCUAUAGGCAAAGAUUCAGUUGCUUCCUCUCUUAUUGACGGCGAACC